This 253-nucleotide ribosomal RNA is filed under the name uncultured bacterium. Its description in RNAcentral is "partial 16S ribosomal RNA". It matches the Rfam family "Bacterial small subunit ribosomal RNA", at positions 524 to 776 of the family's 1533-position model. The record is from RNAcentral.
UACGGAGGGUGCAAGCGUUAUCCGGAUUUACUGGGUUUAAAGGGUGCGUAGGUGGGUCUGUAAGUCAGUGGUGAAAUCCCCGAGCUUAACUUGGGAACUGCCGUUGAUACUAUAGAUCUUGAAUAUCGUGGAGGUAAGCGGAAUAUGUCAUGUAGCGGUGAAAUGCUUAGAUAUGACAUAGAACACCAAUUGCGAAGGCAGCUUACUACACGAUCAUUGACACUGAGGCACGAAAGCGUGGGGAGCAAACAGG